GAUGAACGCUGGCGGCGUGCCUAAUACAUGCAAGUCGAGCGAACAGACGAGGAGCUUGCUCCUCUGACGUUAGCGGCGGACGGGUGAGUAACACGUGGAUAACCUACCUAUAAGACUGGGAUAACUUCGGGAAACCGGAGCUAAUACCGGAUAAUAUAUUGAACCGCAUGGUUCAAUAGUGAAAGACGGUUUUGCUGUCACUUAUAGAUGGAUCCGCGCCGCAUUAGCUAGUUGGUAAGGUAACGGCUUACCAAGGCGACGAUGCGUAGCCGACCUGAGAGGGUGAGCGGCCACACUGGAACUGGGACACGGUCCAGACCCCUAGGGGGGGCAGGAGUAGGGAAACUUCCGAAAUGGGCGAAAGCCUGAAGGAGCAACGCCGGGGGGGUGAAGAAGGUCUUCGGAUCGUAAAACUCUGUUAUUGGGGAAAAAAAAAUGUGUAAGUAACUAUGCACGUCUUGACGGUAACUAAUCAGAAAGCCACGGAUAACUACGU
RNAcentral lists this ribosomal RNA (496 nucleotides) under uncultured bacterium. Its description in RNAcentral is "partial 16S ribosomal RNA". It matches the Rfam family "Bacterial small subunit ribosomal RNA", at positions 28 to 506 of the family's 1533-position model. The record is from RNAcentral.